CAGCCGUAAAGACGUCCUGCAGGAGAUGGAGAUGCUGGAUGCGUUCAGCACCACCAUCCACGUGCAGAAUAUCUCAAGUGGGGAUCAUCUGGUUGAAGCUCUAGAGCUCCUGGGGAGCUUCACAGAUGCUGAGAGAACCACCAUCGCCCAGCAUGUGAAAGGAAAAAGAGUGUGGAUUGGCAUUAAGAAGCUGCUCAUGCUUAUUGAAAUGUCUCUGCAGAUGGAUCAGGAGUACAGAGUUAGCAAGUUCCUUUCUCUACUCAAAGAUGAGGGAGCGCUGGAUGAAAACAAUCACAUUCGAAUUUAACUCUACCGGUGAAAAGCAAUGUGGAUACAACCCAGGCUAUCACGCACCAUAUAUAGGCUAGUUUAUGAAGAUUUCUAUGAGAAAGGCAAGGAUGACUAUGCAGAUGAGACAGAGGGAGAUGGCAAAUUUAACAUGACUGAUGCUGCUCCGUUUACACGAGACCGCGGCUUCUUCGAGUAACAGAAGACAGGAGACGCUUUCAACCUUCUGCAUGUUCCCGAAAAAAAAAAAAAAAACUCCAGCCAAACUCCACCUUCACAAAUGUAACAGAUAUAACCUGACGGAGAUCACACUUCAUAUCCAACCAAUAUCAAAUAUCGUCUUGUGCUUUGUGUAAGACUUCUGUACGCUGUUUGUUUACAUUAAAUAUACGUUCCAAUCUGCUCAAAGAAAGCCAUGAAGAUGUAAAGAUUAAAAAAAUAAUUGUAUAUAUGCUGCUGGAUGCAAAACAUAUAUUGUGAGACUAUAUCAUGCAACCUGAAUCUCAAAAGUAUGAUAUAAGGAAGCUGUUA
Molecule: non-coding RNA, 819 nt
Organism: Danio rerio (zebrafish)
Lineage: Eukaryota; Metazoa; Chordata; Actinopteri; Cypriniformes; Danionidae
Source: Ensembl